RNAcentral lists this ribosomal RNA (253 nucleotides) under uncultured bacterium. RNAcentral describes it as "partial 16S ribosomal RNA". It matches the Rfam family "Bacterial small subunit ribosomal RNA", at positions 524 to 776 of the family's 1533-position model. The record is from RNAcentral.
CACGUAGGGUGCGAGCGUUGUCCGGAAUUAUUGGGCGUAAAGAGCUUGUAGGCGGUUUGUCGCGUCUGCUGUGAAAUUUCGGGGCUCAACCCCGAACUUGCAGUGGGUACGGGCAGACUAGAGUGUGGUAGGGGAGACUGGAAUUCCUGGUGUAGCGGUGAAAUGCGCAGAUAUCAGGAGGAACACCGAUGGCGAAGGCAGGUCUCUGGGCCACUACUGACACUGAGAAGCGAAAGCAUGGGGAGCGAACAGG